AUAAACAAAGACACUAUGAUCGGUGUUCAGACAAAAUCGGGUGUUUGUAAGUGUGAUAACUUCCUCUGCGUUGCGUUUCAGAGAUGAGCUUCCGCGUAGUCUUCGAAGAAGGCAUCCUCAUCCUGAAAGUAACAUUUGAAUCAGUGCAUAUCUCUCAACAAAUGGACGAAAAUGAGGAUCCUCGAGAAGAGCC
This is a long non-coding RNA of Capsella rubella, 193 nucleotides long. RefSeq lists it as uncharacterized. The record is from RefSeq and is a predicted model, not a curated record. The transcript is spliced from 3 exons. Lineage: Eukaryota; Viridiplantae; Streptophyta; Magnoliopsida; Brassicales; Brassicaceae.